UCAAUAAGCGGAGGUACAGAUACCAACAGGGAUUGCCCUAGUAACGGCGAGUGAAGCGGCAACAGCUCAAAUUUGAAAUCUGGCCCUCGGGUCCGAAUUGUAAUUUGUAGAGGAUGUUUUUGGUGCGGUACCUUCCGAGUUCCCUGGAACGGGACGCCAUAGAGGGUGAGAGCCCCGUCUGGUUGGAUGCCAAUCCUCUGUAAAACUCCUUCGACGAGUCGAGUAGUUUGGGAAUGCUGCUCUAAAUGGGAGGUAUAUGUCUUCUAAAGCUAAAUAUUGGCCAGAGACCGAUAGCGCACAAGUAGAGUGAUCGAAAGAUGAAAAGCACUUUGAAAAGAGAGUUAAAAAGCACGUGAAAUUGUUAAAAGGGAAGCGCUUAUGACCAGACUUGGGCUUGGUUGAUCAUCCAGUGUUCUCACUGGUGCACUCUUCCGGCUCAGGCCAGCAUCAGUUUGCUUUGGGGGAUAAAGGCUUUGGGAAUGUGGCUCCCUCGGGAGUGUUAUAGCCCAUUGUGUAAUACCCUGGAGCGGACUGAGGUACGCGUUCUGCAAGGAUGCUGGCGUAAUGGUCAUCAGUGACCCGUCUUGAAACACGGACCAAGGAGUCGUCUUCGUAUGCGAGUGUUCGGGUGUCAAACCCCUACGCGUAAUGAAAGUGAACGCAGGUGAGAGCUUCGGCGCAUCAUCGACCGAUCCUGAUGUUCUCGGAUGGAUUUGAGUAAGAGCAUACGGGGCCGGACCCGAAAGAAGGUGAAACUAUGCCUGUGUAGGGUGAAGCCAGAGGAAACUCUGGUGGGAGGCUCGCAGCGGUUCUGACGUUGCAAAUGGAUCGUCAAACAUGGGCAUGGGGGCGAAAGACUAAUCG
RNAcentral lists this ribosomal RNA (864 nucleotides) under Volutella aeria. RNAcentral's name for it is "eukaryotic LSU rRNA". It matches the Rfam family "Eukaryotic large subunit ribosomal RNA", at positions 43 to 937 of the family's 3401-position model. The record is from RNAcentral. Lineage: Eukaryota; Fungi; Ascomycota; Sordariomycetes; Hypocreales; Nectriaceae.